CAAGAAAAACGAAAUGGCAAGAAAAAAAAAAGAAGAGAAGAGAAGAGAAAUUAAGGUAGAAAGAAGGAAAGAGCUACGGUUUUGGGAGGAGAAAAAGCCCAAAACGUUACCAAACAGCCAAUAAGUUUCAGCUGCGCUAAAGGAAAUUCCGAGGCAAGUUUUGGCGCGUUUUGGUGAAUUUCGGGAAAGGUUCAAGAGGCGACGAGGCGAGCAUAGUUAAGAGUAAUUUGUAAGAGGUACAGACGAUUGGUUUGCUGAUCCGCUCGCUUAGGACAUCCACCAUGUUGGUCGACAGUGCUUCUUUGUCCGUAGCCCUAUUUUGGUACUGACACUUUCUGUUGUAUAUAUAUAUACGUUGUUCAGG
Solanum dulcamara is the source of this 364-nucleotide long non-coding RNA. RefSeq lists it as uncharacterized. The transcript has 4 exons. Lineage: Eukaryota; Viridiplantae; Streptophyta; Magnoliopsida; Solanales; Solanaceae. The record is from RefSeq and is a predicted model, not a curated record.